This 471-nucleotide ribosomal RNA is filed under the name uncultured organism. RNAcentral describes it as "partial 16S ribosomal RNA". It matches the Rfam family "Bacterial small subunit ribosomal RNA", at positions 334 to 797 of the family's 1533-position model. The record is from RNAcentral.
CACUCCUACGGGAGGCAGCAGUGGGGAAUUUUGGACAAUGGGCGAAAGCCUGAUCCAGCAAUGCCGCGUGUGUGAAGAAGGCCUUCGGGUUGUAAAGCACUUUUGUCCGGAAAGAAAUCCUUGGCUCUAAUACAGUCGGGGGAUGACGGUACCGGAAGAAUAAGCACCGGCUAACUACGUGCCAGCAGCCGCGGUAAUACGUAGGGUGCGAGCGUUAAUCGGAAUUACUGGGCGUAAAGCGUGCGCAGGCGGUUUGCUAAGACCGAUGUGAAAUCCCCGGGCUCAACCUGGGAACUGCAUUGGUGACUGGCAGGCUAGAGUAUGGCAGAGGGGGGUAGAAUUCCACGUGUAGCAGUGAAAUGCGUAGAGAUGUGGAGGAAUACCGAUGGCGAAGGCAGCCCCCUGGGCCAAUACUGACGCUCAUGCACGAAAGCGUGGGGAGCAAACAGGAUUAGAUACCCCGGUAGUCCC